GGAGGAAAAGAAACCAACAGGGAUUGCCUUAGUAGCGGCGAGUGAAGCGGCAAAAGCUCAAAUUUGAAAUCUGGCACUUUCAGUGUCCGAGUUGUAAUUUGAAGAAGGUAUCUUUGGGUCUGGCUCUUGUCUAUGUUUCUUGGAACAGAACGUCACAGAGGGUGAGAAUCCCGUGCGAUGAGAUGUCCCAGACCUAUGUAAAGUUCCUUCGAAGAGUCGAGUUGUUUGGGAAUGCAGCUCUAAGUGGGUGGUAAAUUCCAUCUAAAGCUAAAUAUUGGCGAGAGACCGAUAGCGAACAAGUACAGUGAUGGAAAGAUGAAAAGAACUUUGAAAAGAGAGUGAAAAAGUACGUGAAAUUGUUGAAAGGGAAGGGCUUGAGAUCAGACUUGGUAUUUUGUAUGUUACUCUCUCGGGGGUGGCCUCUACAGUUUACCGGGCCAGCAUCAGUUUGAGCGGUAGGAUAAGUGCAAAGAAAUGUGGCACUGCUUCGGUAGUGUGUUAUAGUCUUUGUCGAUACUGCCAGCUUAGACUGAGGACUGCGGCUUCGGCCUAGGAUGUUGGCAUAAUGAUCUUAAGUCGCCCGUCU
Molecule: ribosomal RNA, 586 nt
Filed under: Lodderomyces parapsilosis
Lineage: Eukaryota; Fungi; Ascomycota; Pichiomycetes; Serinales; Debaryomycetaceae
Description: eukaryotic LSU rRNA
Rfam family: Eukaryotic large subunit ribosomal RNA
Source: RNAcentral